Molecule: long non-coding RNA, 665 nt
Organism: Nymphaea colorata (pocket water lily)
Lineage: Eukaryota; Viridiplantae; Streptophyta; Magnoliopsida; Nymphaeales; Nymphaeaceae
Exons: 5
Source: RefSeq, a predicted model, not a curated record
CUCUCUCUCUCUCUCUCUCUCUUUGUGGUUCGGGAUGGCGAGAGAUUACUGUCAAGUAGAGGAGGAUGAGAAUUUGUUUUUCUUUAAACUUCAUUGCGCAAGGGCAAUAUGCUGUUGGAAUUAGGUUCUGCUCGAUACUCUUUCUCCCUCUUUCUUUUUUUGUAGAACCCUUGGGAUAAUGGUGUUGGCCAGUAGAUUCCAUGCAAGAGAUCGUCCCAAUGUUUUGUCCUUUCUAAUCGCUCAUCCUUCCUUCAAGUGAUCGCAUCUCCUGUUGCCCUUGUUUGAAAGGGGGCGGGGCGCGAGUGGGAGAAUGGGAUGAGGAACCACUGUCUUUUUGGACGUCCAUGCAUCCGUUUUGGACGGAACCGGGUGGCCUAGGUAAAGUAUAACUCAGGCAGAAGGACUUGAUCUACGAACUGAGCUAGCACCAUGUUGUGUUCCUAAAUCAGGGUAUGUUCAGAUCAGACUUCUUCUCUUGGGUUGUCCCAGAGCACCAAAGUUUCCUCCCAGUGCAAUCUUUUGUUAAUUUAGAAAAGGAAAUGAUGCUGGGUGGAGGAUAGACUCUUGAGGAAGCUCAUCAGCGAACAAAGAUGUCACUGAGGUGCUGCCCUCUGAGUUUUGGACCAGGUAGUGAGGAAGGAAUCAACUGAAGUGGGAAGUUCAUC